GACGAACGCUGGCGGCGUGCUUAACACAUGCCAGUCGAACGGAAAGGCCCUGCUGUUGUGGGUUGCUCGAGUGGCGAACGGGUGAGUAACACGGGAGUAACCUGCCCUUGACUUUGGGAUAACUUCAGGAAACUGGGGCUAAUACCGGAUAGGAGCUCCUGCUGCAUGGUGGGGGUUGGAAAGUUUCGGCGGUUGGGGAUGGACUCGCGGCUUAUCAGCUUGUUGGUGGGGUAGUGGCUUACCAAGGCUUUGACGGGUAGCCGGCCUGAGAGGGUGACCGGCCACAUUGGGACUGAGAUACGGCCCAGACUCCUACGGGAGGCAGCAGUGGGGAAUAUUGCAGAAUGGGCGGAAGCCUGAUGCAGCAACGCCGCGUGCGGGAUGACGGCCUUCGGGUUGUAAACCGCUUUCGCCUGUGACGAAGCGUGAGUGACGGUAAUGGGUAAAGAAGCACCGGCUAACUACGUG
This 468-nucleotide ribosomal RNA is filed under the name uncultured bacterium. RNAcentral's name for it is "partial 16S ribosomal RNA". It matches the Rfam family "Bacterial small subunit ribosomal RNA", at positions 28 to 507 of the family's 1533-position model. The record is from RNAcentral.